UACGUAGGGACCAAGCGUUGUUCGGAUUUACUGGGCGUAAAGCGUGCGCAGGCGGUUUUGUAAGCCAGAUGUGAAAUCCCCGGGCUUAACCUGGGAAUGGCAUUUGGGACUGCAAGGCUGGAGUGUGGCAGAGGAGACUGGAAUUCCUGGUGUAGCAGUGAAAUGCGUAGAUAUCAGGAGGAAUACCGAUGGCGAAGGCAGGUCUCUGGGCUGACACUGACGCUCAUGCACGAAAGCGUGGGGAGCAAACAGG
This 253-nucleotide ribosomal RNA is filed under the name uncultured bacterium. Its description in RNAcentral is "partial 16S ribosomal RNA". It matches the Rfam family "Bacterial small subunit ribosomal RNA", at positions 524 to 776 of the family's 1533-position model. The record is from RNAcentral.